This 501-nucleotide ribosomal RNA is filed under the name uncultured bacterium. RNAcentral describes it as "partial 16S ribosomal RNA". It matches the Rfam family "Bacterial small subunit ribosomal RNA", at positions 30 to 523 of the family's 1533-position model. The record is from RNAcentral.
AUUGAACGCUGGCGGCAUGCUUUACACAUGCAAGUCGAACGGCAGCACGGGUGCUUGCACCUGGUGGCGAGUGGCGAACGGGUGAGUAAUACAUCGGAACGUGCCCUAUCGUGGGGGAUAACGCAGCGAAAGUUGCGCUAAUACCGCAUACGCCCUGAGGGGGAAAGCGGGGGACCGUAAGGCCUCGCGCGAUUGGAGCGGCCGAUGUCUGAUUAGCUUGUUGGUGAGGUAAAGGCUCACCAAGGCAACGAUCAGUAGCUGGUCUGAGAGGACGAUCAGCCACACUGGGACUGAGACACGGCCCAAACUCCUACGGGAGGCAGCAGUGGGGAAUUUUGGACAAUGGGGGCAACCCUGAUCCAGCAAUGCCGCGUGAGUGAAGAAGGCCUUCGGGUUGUAAAGCUCUUUUGUCAGGGAAGAAACAGCAGCUUUAAUACAGCAUGCGAAUGACGGUACCUGAAGAAUAAGCACCGGCUAACUACGUGCCAGCAGCCGCCGCCG